Molecule: ribosomal RNA, 1101 nt
Filed under: uncultured bacterium
Lineage: Bacteria
Description: bacterial SSU rRNA
Rfam family: Bacterial small subunit ribosomal RNA
Source: RNAcentral
GAGUUUGAUCCUGGCUCAGGAUGAACGCUAGCGGCAAGCUUAAUACAUGCAAGUCGAGGGGCAGCAUGAAGUAGCAAUACUUUGAUGGCGACCGGCAAACGGGUGCGGAACACGUACACAACCUUCCUUUUAGUGGGGAAUAGCCCAGAGAAAUUUGGAUUAAUACCCCGUAACAUGACCGAGUGGCAUCACUUGGUUAUUAUAGCUUCGGCGCUAAAUGAUGGGUGUGCGUAUGAUUAGAUAGUUGGCGAGGUAACGGCUCACCAAGUCUACGAUCAUUAGCUGAUGUGAGAGCAUGAUCAGCCACACGGGCACUGAGACACGGGCCCGACUCCUACGGGAGGCAGCAGUAAGGAAUAUUGGUCAAUGGACGCAAGUCUGAACCAGCUAUGCCGCGUGAAGGAUUAAGGUCCUCUGGAUUGUAAACUUCUCUUAUCUGGGACGAAAAAAGGUCUUUCUAGACCCCUUGACGGUACCAGAUGAAUAAGCACCGGCUAACUCCGUGCCAGCAGCCGCGGUAAUACGGAGGGUGCAAGCGUUAUCCGGAUUCACUGGGUUUAAAGGGUGCGUAGGCGGGUAGGUAAGUCAGUGGUGAAAUCCUGGAGCUCAACUCCAGAACUGCCAUUGAUACUAUCUAUCUUGAAUAUUGUGGAGGUAAGCGGAAUAUGUCAUGUAGCGGUGAAAUGCUUAGAUAUGACAUAGAACACCCAUUGCGAAGGCAGCUUACUACGCAUAUAUUGACGCUGAGGCACGAAAGCGUGGGGAUCAAACAGGAUUAGAUACCCUGGUAGUCCACGCCCUAAACGAUGGAUACUCGACAUACGCGAUACACUGUGUGUGUCUGAGCGAAAGCAUUAAGUAUCCCACCUGGGAAGUACGUUCGCAAGAAUGAAACUCAAAGGAAUUGGCGGGGGUCCGCACAAGCGGUGGAGUAUGUGGUUUAAUUCGAUGCAACGCGAAGAACCUUACCUGGCCUUGACAUGCUUAGUUCAGGCGUAGAAACACGCCGGCCCGCAAGGGCGAUUUGCACAGGUGCUGCAUGGCUGUCGUCAGCUCGUGUCGUGAGAUGUUGGGUUAAGUCCCGCAACGAGCGCAACCCAA